GAUGAAGAACGUAGUGAAAUGCGAUAAGUAAUGCGAAUUGCAGAAUUCCGUGAGUCAUCGAAUCUUUGAACGCACAUUGCGCCCUCUGGUAUUCCGGAGGGCAUGCCUGUCUGAGCGUCAUUGUCAACCCUCAAGCUCAGCUUGCUGUUGGGUCCCCAUCGUUGCUUUAACGGCGGACCCGAAAGGUAAUGGCAGAGUCCGUGAGACCCUAGACGCAGCGAGCUUCUAGCACGCGUCUGGACGUUUUUCGGGCUCGGUCUUAACUAGAUGAUAACUUCCGAUUGACCUCAGAUCAGGUAGGGAUACCCGCUGAACUUAAGCAUAUCAUAAGCGGAGGA
Molecule: unclassified non-coding RNA, 338 nt
Filed under: soil metagenome
Description: partial contains 5.8S ribosomal RNA, internal transcribed spacer 2, and large subunit ribosomal RNA
Rfam family: 5.8S ribosomal RNA (bases 1-120)
Source: RNAcentral